GAUGAACGCUGGCGGCGUGCCUAAUACAUGCGAGUCGAGCGAACGGACGAGAAGCUUGCUUCUCUGAUGUUAGCGGCGGACGGGUGAGUAACACGUGGAUAACCUACCUAUAAGACUGGGAUAACUUCGGGAAACCGGAGCUAAUACCGGAUAAUAUUUUGAACCGCAUGGUUCAAAAGUGAAAGACGGUCUUGCUGUCACUUAUAGAUGGAUCCGCGCUGCAUUAGCUAGUUGGUAAGGUAACGGCUUACCAAGGCAACGAUGCAUAGCCGACCUGAGAGGGUGAUCGGCCACACUGGAACUGAGACACGGUCCAGACUCCUACGGGAGGCAGCAGUAGGGAAUCUUCCUCAAUGGGCGAAAGCCUGACGGAGCAACGCCGCGUGAGUGAUGAAGGUCUUCGGAUCGUAAAACUCUGUUAUUAGGGAAGAACAUAUGUGUAAGUAACUGUGCACAUCUUGACGGUACCUAAUCAGAAAGCCACGGCUAACUACGUG
This 497-nucleotide ribosomal RNA is filed under the name uncultured bacterium. RNAcentral's name for it is "partial 16S ribosomal RNA". It matches the Rfam family "Bacterial small subunit ribosomal RNA", at positions 28 to 507 of the family's 1533-position model. The record is from RNAcentral.